AUAACCUUUAAUUUGAUUCAGAGAAAUCAAUAAGGAAGUUAUAUAAUACCAAUGAUCUAGGAUUAUUAUGCCUUCCUUUAUAUUAAGGAAGCUUUUUUAU
This 100-nucleotide unclassified non-coding RNA is filed under the name Clostridium beijerinckii. RNAcentral's name for it is "PyrR". Lineage: Bacteria; Bacillati; Bacillota; Clostridia; Eubacteriales; Clostridiaceae. The record is from RNAcentral.